Oncorhynchus keta (chum salmon) is the source of this 629-nucleotide long non-coding RNA. RefSeq lists it as uncharacterized. The record is from RefSeq and is a predicted model, not a curated record. The transcript is spliced from 3 exons. Lineage: Eukaryota; Metazoa; Chordata; Actinopteri; Salmoniformes; Salmonidae.
AAUGUGCAUUUACCAUAUGAAAUUUGACAUGCUCAAAAAUGCAAAAUUGACUGGUCUGAUGGACACAGGAUGGCCGAGCAGUGAUAGUUGUACAUUUCCAUCACUCGUUGUGUUGAUUUCAUCAUGUCCAUUAGGUGAUGUUUUUUUCACUAUAGAAUCAUAUUGCAAAUGCACGUGCAUUGUUGUGCAACUGGUAACCCAAAAAUAAAAAUAUGGUUGUAAAUGCAUUUACCGGUCAUUCUGAUAUUAAUGCUCGCUAUGGGAACACAGGAUGGCCGGGCAGUGAUAGUUGUACAUUUCCAUCACUCGUUGUGUUGAUUUCAUCAUGUCCAUUAGGUGAUGUUUUUACACUAUAGAAUCAUAUUGCAAAUGCACGUGCAUUGUUGUGCAACUGGUAACCCAAAAAUAAAAAUAUGGUUGUAAAUGCAUUUACCGGUCAUUCUGAUAUUAAUGCUCGCUAUGGGAACACAGGAUGGCCGGGCAGUGAUAGUUGUACAUUUCCAUCACUCGUUGUGUUGAUUUCAUCAUGUCCAUUAGGUGAUGUUUUUACACUAUAGAAUCAUAUUGCAAAUGCACGUGCAUUGUUGUGCAACUGGUAACCCAAAAAUAAAAAUAUGGUUGUAAAUGCA